UGGGGAAUAUUGCGCAAUGGGCGAAAGCCUGACGCAGCAACGCCGCGUGAGUGAUGAAGGCCUUCGGGUCGUAAAGCUCUGUCGGAGGGAACGAAUGCUCCUGAAGUUAACAGCCUCAGGAGGUGACGGUACCCUCAAAGGAAGCACCGGCUAACUCUGUGCCAGCAGCCGCGGUAAUACAGAGGGUGCAAGCGUUGUUCGGAAUCAUUGGGCGUAAAGGGCGUGUAGGCGGUAUGUUAAGUCAUGUGUGAAAUCCCUCGGCUCAACCGGGGAACGACGCAUGAAACUAGCAAGCUAGAGUACCAAAGAGGGUGGUGGAAUUCCCGGUGUAGCAGUGAAAUGCGUAGAGAUCUGGAGGAACACCGAUGGCGAAGGCAGCCCCCUGGGCUAACACUGACGCUCAUGCACGAAAGCGUGGGGAGCAAACAGGAUUAGAUACCCUUGUAGUCCCUGAGCGGGCUGGCAAGGCGCAU
This 473-nucleotide ribosomal RNA is filed under the name uncultured bacterium. RNAcentral describes it as "partial 16S ribosomal RNA". It matches the Rfam family "Bacterial small subunit ribosomal RNA", at positions 355 to 825 of the family's 1533-position model. The record is from RNAcentral.